Molecule: ribosomal RNA, 215 nt
Filed under: uncultured bacterium
Lineage: Bacteria
Description: partial 16S ribosomal RNA
Rfam family: Bacterial small subunit ribosomal RNA
Source: RNAcentral
AUGAACAACGUGCCCUGAAGACUGGGAUAGCCAGGGGAAACCCUGGGUAAUACCGGAUGUGGCCGACUUUCGGCAUCACGAGACCAUUAAAUGGUUUUUCGCUUCAGGAGCGAUUCAUGGCCUAUCAGGUAGUUGGUGAGGUAACAGCCCACCAAGGCUACGACGGGUAGGGGGUCUGAGAGGAUGAUCCCCCCGAGUGGGACUGAGACACGGCC